This 1016-nucleotide ribosomal RNA is filed under the name uncultured bacterium. RNAcentral describes it as "bacterial SSU rRNA". It matches the Rfam family "Bacterial small subunit ribosomal RNA", at positions 355 to 1375 of the family's 1533-position model. The record is from RNAcentral.
UGAGGAAUAUUGGUCAAUGGACGAGAGUCUGAACCAGCCAAGUAGCGUGAAGGAUGAAGGUCCUACGGAUUGUAAACUUCUUUUAUAAGGGAAUAAACCCUCCCACGUGUGGGAGCUUGUAUGUACCUUAUGAAUAAGCAUCGGCUAACUCCGUGCCAGCAGCCGCGGUAAUACGGAGGAUGCGAGCGUUAUCCGGAUUUAUUGGGUUUAAAGGGAGCGCAGACGGGUCGUUAAGUCAGCUGUGAAAGUUUGGGGCUCAACCUUAAAAUUGCAGUUGAUACUGGCGUCCUUGAGUGCGGUUGAGGUGUGCGGAAUUCGUGGUGUAGCGGUGAAAUGCUUAGAUAUCACGAAGAACUCCGAUUGCGAAGGCAGCACACUAAUCCGUAACUGACGUUCAUGCUCGAAAGUGUGGGUAUCAAACAGGAUUAGAUACCCUGGUAGUCCACACGGUAAACGAUGGAUACUCGCUGUUGGCGAUAUACUGUCAGCGGCUUAGCGAAAGCGUUAAGUAUCCCACCUGGGGAGUACGCCGGCAACGGUGAAACUCAAAGGAAUUGACGGGGGCCCGCACAAGCGGAGGAACAUGUGGUUUAAUUCGAUGAUACGCGAGGAACCUUACCCGGGCUUAAAUUGCAAAGGAAUAAUCUGGAAACAGGUUAGUCUUCGGACCUUUGUGAAGGUGCUGCAUGGUUGUCGUCAGCUCGUGCCGUGAGGUGUCGGCUUAAGUGCCAUAACGAGCGCAACCCUUAUCACUAGUUACUAACAGGUGAAGCUGAGGACUCUGGUGAGACUGCCAUCGUAAGAUGUGAGGAAGGUGGGGAUGACGUCAAAUCAGCACGGCCCUUACGUCCGGGGCUACACACGUGUUACAAUGGGCGGUACAGAAGGCAGCUACCUGGCGACAGGAUGCCAAUCCCUAAAGCCGCUCUCAGUUCGGACUGGAGUCUGCAACCCGACUCCACGAAGCUGGAUUCGCUAGUAAUCGCAGAUCAGAAUGCUGCGGUGAAUACGUUCCC